This 450-nucleotide ribosomal RNA is filed under the name uncultured bacterium. Its description in RNAcentral is "bacterial SSU rRNA". It matches the Rfam family "Bacterial small subunit ribosomal RNA", at positions 96 to 562 of the family's 1533-position model. The record is from RNAcentral.
CGGCGGACGGGUGAGUAACGCGUGAGUAACCUGCCUAGUACAAAGGGAUAGCCUCGGGAAACCGGGAUUAAUACCAUAUGACACUAAUCUACCGCAUGGUAGAAUAGUUAAAACGAUUAAGUGGUACUAGAUGGACUCGCGUCUGAUUAGCUAGUUGGUGAGAUAAAAGCUCACCAAGGCAACGAUCAGUAACCGGCUUGAGAGAGCGAACGGUCACAUUGGAACUGAGACACGGUCCAAACUCCUACGGGAGGCAGCAGUGGGGAAUAUUGCACAAUGGAGGAAACUCUGAUGCAGCGACGCCGCGUGAGUGAUGAAGGUCUUCGGAUCGUAAAACUCUGUCCUUUGGGAAGAUAAUGACAGUACCAUUGGAGGAAGCCCCGGCUAACUACGUGCCAGCAGCCGCGGUAAUACGUAGGGGGCGAGCGUUGUCCGGAAUUAUUGGGCGUA